CACACAUGCUGCACACAGCACACCCAACACGCUGUACCCCUCACACACAUGCUGUGUGCAGCAUGUGUGUGUGAGGGUCACAGUGUGUUGGGUGUGUUGUAUGCAGCAUGUGUGUGUGAGGGGUGCAGCGUGUUGGGUGUGCUGUGUGCAGCAUGUAU
Molecule: non-coding RNA, 158 nt
Organism: Pelobates cultripes (western spadefoot toad)
Lineage: Eukaryota; Metazoa; Chordata; Amphibia; Anura; Pelobatidae
Source: the annotation of a GenBank genome assembly